UGGUGGAGUGAUUUGUCUGGUUAAUUCCGUUAACGAACGAGACCUCGUCCUGCUAAAUAGUCCGCCGUAUGCUCGUCAUACGGUCGGUUUCUUACUUCUUAGAGGGACUAUCGGUGUCAUUUUUAGCCGAUGGAAGUUCGAGGCAAUAACA
RNAcentral lists this ribosomal RNA (151 nucleotides) under uncultured eukaryote. RNAcentral describes it as "partial 18S ribosomal RNA". It matches the Rfam family "Eukaryotic small subunit ribosomal RNA", at positions 1299 to 1458 of the family's 1831-position model. The record is from RNAcentral.